CCCAGUUCUUGUUGUGUAUCUUGGGCAAGUCCCUUCCCCUCUGUCAACCUCAUUUUUCACAUUGAUGCAAUUAAGGCACUGAAUGGAUCAUCAAUUUCCCCAGAACACUUUAGCCUUUCUUUCUUUCUUUGUGAGACUCAAAUAAAAUAGAUGAAAAUGAGGAAGGCAUACCAGAGUGUCACUUGUGAGCUCAGUGUCUCUUUUACCUUCCCUCCGAGGCCCUGAGACACUUCUGCAGAUACCUGAGUCUCCUCUCCAAGGAGUCCCGCCUGCAAAUCACAAGGGUACAUAAAUGAUGCUACAGUCAUCUUGGAAUAGACAGACCUGGCUGGAAUCCUAGCUUUGCCCCUUACUUGCUGCAUGACCUUGAGUCAGUCACUUGACCUCUCUGAGCUGUCUGCAUCAUCUCGCCAAUGGGAAUGGGAAUUAGGAGAUUAGGAGCCCAUGCUGUGCCACUGAUUUGCUCUGUGUCUUGGUGAGCCCCUCCCCUUCUCUGGGCCCCAAACCUGGUGACAGAUUGGGAUCUCUCAUUCCAGCCUCUCCUGGAUCAUCUCUGAAAGGGACAUGACAACUUACGGAUUUCCCAAAGCAGAGCCCAAGGCCCUGGGAAUGCAGCAGUGACCAGAGGUGCUGUUGGCCUUCGUGGAGCUCAUGGUCUCCAGUGACAUGUGUGGGAGUGGACACUUGGACACAGAGGAGGCAUCAUCCCAGUCCUAGGCAAGGUGAGUCCUGGGGCAACAUAAGCCUCACAUAGGUGCCUCAACUUCUGCCCUGUAUGUAGACAGAGCAGGGUAGGAGUCAGCUAAGCCACUGAUUUAAGUACAGACCCCGGGGCAGGGGCAAGCCUGUUGGUCCUCAGCUCCCAUUCUAGGUCGUGAGAGGCCAACUUGACCAACGCAGGAGCUGUAUCUGUUGAUCCCCCUCCCCAGUCAAAUAGAUGCAAAUAACAUGCAAGAGGUCCGAAUUUAAAAUAUGCUGGUGUUAAAUAAAUGUAUUAUGGUCUGCCUGCUGCAAUUAUAGUCAAACUCAACAUGUAGGAUGUGACCCACAUGAAAUACUGAGCCGAUUUUAGUAUCAAACAGCAUACUCACUUUGGAGACAAGAAGAGGCA
This 1111-nucleotide long non-coding RNA is filed under the name Macaca fascicularis (crab-eating macaque). RNAcentral's name for it is "lncRNA (ENSMFAG00000054783.1)". The record is from RNAcentral. Lineage: Eukaryota; Metazoa; Chordata; Mammalia; Primates; Cercopithecidae.